GACGAACGCUGGCGGCGUGCUUAACACAUGCAAGUCGAACGGACAGCCCUGCCUUUUUGUGGUGUUCCAGUGGCGAACGGGGGAGUAAUACCUGAGUAACCCGCCCCUUACUUUGGGGUAACCUCAGUAAACUAGGGGUUAUAACGGAGAAGAAUCUCUGCCGCCUGGUGGGGGUUUGAAAGAUUCGGGGGUUGGUGAUGGUCACGAGGCGUAUCCGCCUGUUUGUGGGGUAGGGGAUUACCAAGGCUUUGACGGGUAGCCGGACUGAGAGGGUGACCGGCCACAUGGGGACUGAGAUACGGCGCAGAAUCCUACGGGAGGCAGCAGUGGGGAAUAUUGCACAAUGGGCGGGAGCCUGAUGCAGCAACGCCGCGUGCGGGAUGACGGCCUUCGAGUGGUAAACCGAUUUCGCCUGUGACGAAGCGUGAGUGACGGUAAUGGGUAAAGAAGCAACGGCUAACUACGUG
RNAcentral lists this ribosomal RNA (467 nucleotides) under uncultured bacterium. Its description in RNAcentral is "partial 16S ribosomal RNA". It matches the Rfam family "Bacterial small subunit ribosomal RNA", at positions 28 to 507 of the family's 1533-position model. The record is from RNAcentral.